Molecule: ribosomal RNA, 445 nt
Filed under: uncultured bacterium
Lineage: Bacteria
Description: partial 16S ribosomal RNA
Rfam family: Bacterial small subunit ribosomal RNA
Source: RNAcentral
GUGAGGAAUAUUGGUCAAUGGACGAGAGUCUGAACCAGCCAAGUCGCGUGAAGGAAGACGGUUCUAUGAAUUGUAAACUUCUUUUGUGCAGGAAUAAAGUGGGUUACGUGUAACCUUUUGUAUGUACUGUACGAAUAAGGAUCGGCUAACUCCGUGCCAGCAGCCGCGGUAAUACGGAGGAUCCGAGCGUUAUCCGGAUUUAUUGGGUUUAAAGGGUGCGUAGGUGGAUUGAUAAGUCAGUGGUGAAAGUUUGCAGCUUAACUGUAAAAUUGCCGUUGAAACUGUCGGUCUUGAGUGCAAAUGAGGUAGGCGGAAUGUGUUGUGUAGCGGUGAAAUGCUUAGAUAUAACACAGAACUCCGAUUGCGAAGGCAGCUUACUGGGAUGCAACUGACACUGAUGCACGAAAGCGUGGGUAUCAAACAGGAUUAGAUACCCGGGUAGUCC